RNAcentral lists this ribosomal RNA (252 nucleotides) under uncultured bacterium. RNAcentral describes it as "partial 16S ribosomal RNA". It matches the Rfam family "Bacterial small subunit ribosomal RNA", at positions 524 to 776 of the family's 1533-position model. The record is from RNAcentral.
UACGUAGGGUGCGAGCGUUAAUCGGAAUUACUGGGCGUAAGCGUGCGCAGGCGGUUUUGUAAGCCAGGUGUGAAAUCCCGCGGCUCAACCAUGGAACUGCCUCAGAUACUGACGGUCUCGAGGGAGGUAGGGGCGAGCGGAACUGAUGGUGGAGCGGUGAAAUGCGUUGAUAUCAUCAGGAACUCCGGUGGCGAAGGCAGCUCGCUGGACCUUUUCUGACGCUGAGGCGCGAAAGCUAGGGGAGCAAACGGG